Molecule: ribosomal RNA, 440 nt
Filed under: uncultured bacterium
Lineage: Bacteria
Description: partial 16S ribosomal RNA
Rfam family: Bacterial small subunit ribosomal RNA
Source: RNAcentral
CCUACGGGUGGCAGCAGUGGGGAAUAUUGGACAAUGGGCGGAACCCUGAUCCAGCGACGCCGCGUGAGUGAUGACGUCUUUAGGUAUGUAAAGCUCUAUCUGCAUGGAAGAAAAUGACGGUACCUGUCUCCUAAGCUCCGGCUAAAUACGUGCAAGCAGACGCGGCACUACGUAGGGGGCAGGCGUGAUCCGGAUUUACUGGGGGUAAAGGGAGCGUAGACGGUGCGGCAAGUAUGAUGUGAAAGGUGGCGGCCCAACCCCGGGAGUGCAUUGGAAACUGUUGAACUUGAGUACAGGAGAGGUAAGCGGAAUGCGUGGUGUAGCGGUGAAAUGCGUAGAUAUUAGGAAGAACACCAGUUGCGAAGGCAGCUCACUGGACUGUAACUGACGUUGAGGCUCGAAAGUGUGGGGAGCAAACAGGAUUAGAUACCCCAGUAGUC